This 468-nucleotide ribosomal RNA is filed under the name uncultured bacterium. RNAcentral describes it as "partial 16S ribosomal RNA". It matches the Rfam family "Bacterial small subunit ribosomal RNA", at positions 28 to 507 of the family's 1533-position model. The record is from RNAcentral.
GACGAACGCUGGCGGCGUGCUUAACACAUGCCAGUCGAACGGAAAGGCCCUGCUUUUGUGGGGUGCUCGAGUGGCGAACGGGUGAGUAACACGUGAGUAACCUGCCCUUGACUUUGGGAUAACUUCAGGAAACUGGGGCUAAUACCGGAUAGGAGCUCCUGCUGCAUGGUGGGGGUUGGAAAGUUUCGGCGGUUGGGGAUGGACUCGCGGCUUAUCAGCUUGUUGGUGGGGUAGUGGCUUACCAAGGCUUUGACGGGUAGCCGGCCUGAGAGGGUGACCGGCCACAUUGGGACUGAGAUACGGCGCAGACUCCUACGGGAGGCAGCAGUGGAGAAUAUGGCACAAUGGGCGGAAGCCUGAUGCAGCAACGCCGCGUGCGGGAUGACGGCCUUCGGGUUGUAAACCGCUUUCGCCGGUGACGAAGCGUGAGUGACGGUAAUGGGUAAAGAAGCACCGGCUAACUACGUG